This 497-nucleotide ribosomal RNA is filed under the name uncultured bacterium. Its description in RNAcentral is "partial 16S ribosomal RNA". It matches the Rfam family "Bacterial small subunit ribosomal RNA", at positions 28 to 507 of the family's 1533-position model. The record is from RNAcentral.
GAUGAACGCUGGCGGCGUGCCUAAUACAUGCAAGUCGAGCGAACAGACGAGGAGCUUGCUCCUCUGACGUUAGCGGCGGACGGGUGAGUAACGCGUGGAUAACCUACCUAUAAGACUGGGAUAACUUCGGGAAACCGGAGCUAAUACCGGAUAAUAUAUUGAACCGCAUGGUUCAAUAGUGAAAGACGGUUUUGCUGUCACUUAUAGAUGGAUCCGCGCCGCAUUAGCUAGUUGGUAAGGUAACGGCUUACCAAGGCAACGAUGCGUAGCCGACCUGAGAGGGUGAUCGCCCACACUGGAACUGAGCCACGGUCCAGACUCCUACGGGACGCAGCAGUAGGGAAUCUUACGCAAUGGGCGAAAGCCUGACGGAGCAACGCCGCGUGAGUGAUGAAGGUCUUCGGAUCGUAAAACUCUGUUAUUAGGGAAGAACAAAUGUGUAAGUAACCAUGCACGUCUUGACGGUACCUAAUCAGAAAGCAACGGCUAACUACGUG